CGCUGGCGGCAGGCCUAACACAUGCAAGUCGAGCGGUAGAGAGAAGCUUGCUUCUCUUGAGAGCGGCGGACGGGUGAGUAAUGCCUAGGAAUCUGCCUGGUAGUGGGGGAUAACGUUCGGAAACGGACGCUAAUACCGCAUACGUCCUACGGGAGAAAGCAGGGGACCUUCGGGCCUUGCGCUAUCAGAUGAGCCUAGGUCGGAUUAGCUAGUUGGUGGGGUAAUGGCUCACCAAGGCGACGAUCCGUAACUGGUCUGAGAGGAUGAUCAGUCACACUGGAACUGAGACACGGUCCAGACUCCUACGGGAGGCAGCAGUGGGGAAUAUUGGACAAUGGGCGAAAGCCUGAUCCAGCCAUGCCGCGUGUGUGAAGAAGGUCUUCGGAUUGUAAAGCACUUUAAGUUGGGAGGAAGGGUUGUAGAUUAAUACUCUGCAAUUUUGACGUUACCGACAGAAUAAGCACCGGCUAACUCUGUGCCAGCAGCCGCGGUAAUACAGAGGGUGCAAGCGUUAAUCGGAAUUACUGGGCGUAAAGCGCGCGUAGGUGGUUUGUUAAGUUGGAUGUGAAAUCCCCGGGCUCAACCUGGGAACUGCAUUCAAAACUGACUGACUAGAGUAUGGUAGAGGGUGGUGGAAUUUCCUGUGUAGCGGUGAAAUGCGUAGAUAUAGGAAGGAACACCAGUGGCGAAGGCGACCACCUGGACUAAUACUGACACUGAGGCGCGAAAGCGUGGGGAGCAAAC
Molecule: ribosomal RNA, 744 nt
Filed under: uncultured bacterium
Lineage: Bacteria
Description: bacterial SSU rRNA
Rfam family: Bacterial small subunit ribosomal RNA
Source: RNAcentral